GAUGAACGCUGGCGGCGUGCCUAAUACAUGCAAGUCGAGCGAACAGACGAGGAGCUUGCUCCUCUGACGUUAGCGACGGACGGGUGAGUAACACGUGGAUAACCUACCUAUAAGACUGGGAUAACUUCGGGAAACCGGAGCUAAUACCGGAUAAUAUAUUGAACCGCAUGGUUCAAUAGUGAAAGACGGUUUUGCUGUCACUUAUAGAGGGAUCCGCGCCGCAUUAGCUAGUUGGUAAGGUAACGGCUUACCAAGGCAACGAUGCGUAGCCGACCUGAGAGGGUGAUCGGCCACACUGGAACUGAGACACGGUCCAGACUCCUACGGGAGGCAGCAGUAGGGAAUCUUCCGCAAUGGGCGAAAGCUUGACGGAGCAACGCCGCGUGAGUGAUGAAGGUCUUCGGAUCGUAAAACUCUGUUAUUAGGGAAGAACAAAUGUGUAAGUAACUAUGCACGUCUUGACGGUACCUAAUCAGAAAGCCACGGCUAACUACGUG
This 497-nucleotide ribosomal RNA is filed under the name uncultured bacterium. RNAcentral's name for it is "partial 16S ribosomal RNA". It matches the Rfam family "Bacterial small subunit ribosomal RNA", at positions 28 to 507 of the family's 1533-position model. The record is from RNAcentral.